This 365-nucleotide ribosomal RNA is filed under the name uncultured Carnobacterium sp. RNAcentral describes it as "bacterial SSU rRNA". It matches the Rfam family "Bacterial small subunit ribosomal RNA", at positions 958 to 1324 of the family's 1533-position model. Lineage: Bacteria; Bacillati; Bacillota; Bacilli; Lactobacillales; Carnobacteriaceae. The record is from RNAcentral.
AACGCGAAGAACCUUACCAGGUCUUGACAUCCUGUGACCACUCUAGAGAUACAGGUUUCCCUUCGGGGACACAGAGACAGGUGGUGCAUGGUUGUCGUCAGCUCGUGUCGUGAGAUGUUGGGUUAAGUCCCGCAACGAGCGCAACCCCUAUUUUUAGUUCCCAUCAUUAAGUUGGGCACUCUAGUGAGACUGCCGGUGACAAACCGGAGGAAGGUGGGGAUGACGUCAAAUCAUCAUGCCCCUUAUGACCUGGGCUACACACGUGCUACAAUGGAUGGUACAACGAGUAGCAAGGUCGCGAGGCCAAGCUAAUCUCUUAAAGCCAUUCUCAGUUCGGAUUGCAGUCUGCAACUCGCCUGCAUGAA